RNAcentral lists this ribosomal RNA (430 nucleotides) under uncultured bacterium. RNAcentral describes it as "partial 16S ribosomal RNA". It matches the Rfam family "Bacterial small subunit ribosomal RNA", at positions 29 to 507 of the family's 1533-position model. The record is from RNAcentral.
ACGCACGCUGGCGGCAGGCCUAACACAUGCAAGUCGAGCGCCCCGCAAGGGGAGCGGCGGACGGGUGAGUAACGCGUGGGAAUAUGCCCUUUGCUACGGAAUAGUCUCGGGAAACUGGGGGUAAUACCGUAUACGCCCUUUGGGGGAAAGAUUUAUCGGCGAAGGAUUAGCCCGCGUUGGAUUAGGUAGUUGGUGGGGUAAUGGCCUACCAAGCCGACGAUCCAUAGCUGGUUUGAGAGGAUGAUCAGCCACACUGGGACUGAGACACGGCCCAGACUCCUACGGGAGGCAGCAGUGGGGAAUCUUAGACAAUGGGGGCAACCCUGAUCUAGCCAUGCCGCGUGAGUGAUGAAGGCCUUAGGGUUGUAAAGCUCUUUCAGCUGGGAAGAUAAUGACGGUACCAGCAGAAGAAGCCCCGGCUAACUCCGUG